This 451-nucleotide ribosomal RNA is filed under the name uncultured Arcobacter sp. RNAcentral describes it as "bacterial SSU rRNA". It matches the Rfam family "Bacterial small subunit ribosomal RNA", at positions 933 to 1382 of the family's 1533-position model. The record is from RNAcentral. Lineage: Bacteria; Pseudomonadati; Campylobacterota; Epsilonproteobacteria; Campylobacterales; Arcobacteraceae.
UGGAGCAUGUGGUUUAAUUCGUACGAUACGCGAAGAACCUUACCUGGCCUUGACAUACUAAAAAGCUUUAAGAGAUUAGAGUGUGCUAGCUUGCUAGAAUUUAGAUACAGGUGCUGCACGGCUGUCGUCAGCUCGUGUCGUGAGAUGUGGGUUAAGUCCCGCAACGAGCGCAACCUCGUGUUUAGUUGCUAACAGUUCGGCUGAGAACUCUAAACAGACUGCCUACGCAAGUAGGAGGAAGGUGAGGACGACGUCAAGUCAUCAUGGCCCUUACGGCCAGGGCUACACACGUGCUACAAUGGGGUAUACAAAGAGCAGCGAUACGGUGACGUGGAGCAAAUCUAGAAAAUGCCUCUCAGUUCGGAUUGUAGUCUGCAACUCGACUACAUGAAGUUGGAACCGCUAGUAAUCGUAGAUCAGCAAUGCUACGGUGAAUACGUUCCCGGGUCUU